This 816-nucleotide ribosomal RNA is filed under the name uncultured Acinetobacter sp. RNAcentral describes it as "bacterial SSU rRNA". It matches the Rfam family "Bacterial small subunit ribosomal RNA", at positions 57 to 868 of the family's 1533-position model. The record is from RNAcentral. Lineage: Bacteria; Pseudomonadati; Pseudomonadota; Gammaproteobacteria; Moraxellales; Moraxellaceae.
GCAGUCGAGCGGGCGAGGUUGCUUCGGUAACUGAGCUAGCGGCGGACGGGUGGGUAAAGCUUAGGAAUCUGCCUAUUAGUGGGGGACAACAUUCCGAAAGGAAUGCUAAUACCGCAUACGUCCUACGGGAGAAAGCAGGGGAUCUUCGGACCUUGCGCUAAUAGAUGAGCCUAAGUCAGAUUAGCUAGUUGGUGGGGUAAAGGCCUACCAAGGCGACGAUCUGUAGCGGGUCUGAGAGGAUGAUCCGCCACACUGGGACUGAGACACGGCCCAGACUCCUACGGGAGGCAGCAGUGGGGAAUAUUGGACAAUGGGCGGAAGCCUGAUCCAGCCAUGCCGCGUGUGUGAAGAAGGCCUUUUGGUUGUAAAGCACUUUAAGCGAGGAGGAGGCUACCUAGAUUAAUACUCUGGGAUAGUGGACGUUACCCGCAGAAUAAGCACCGGCUAACUCUGUGCCAGCAGCCGCGGUAAUACAGAGGGUGCGAGCGUUAAUCGGAUUUACUGGGCGUAAAGCGUGCGUAGGCGGCUUUUUAAGUCGGAUGUGAAAUCCCUGAGCUUAACUUAGGAAUUGCAUUCGAUACUGGGAAGCUAGAGUAUGGGAGAGGAUGGUAGAAUUCCAGGUGUAGCGGUGAAAUGCGUAGAGAUCUGGAGGAAUACCGAUGGCGAAGGCAGCCAUCUGGCCUAAUACUGACGCUGAGGUACGAAAGCAUGGGGAGCAAACAGGAUUAGAUACCCUGGUAGUCCAUGCCGUAAACGAUGUCUACUAGCCGUUGGGGCCUUUGAGGCUUUAGUGGCGCAGCUAACGCGAUAAGUAGA